UUGGUUAUGCUGAUAAGAGCGUAUGGUGGAUGCCUUGGCACUAAGAGCCGAUGAAAGACGUGAUAAGCUGCGAAAAGCUUCGGGGAGGAGCAAAUAUCCUUUGAUCCGGAGAUUUCUGAAUGGGGAAACCUACUUGAGCAAACCUCAAGUAUCCUUAAGCCAAUACAUAACUUAAGGAAGGGAACCCGGUGAACUGAAACAUCUAAGUAGCCGGAGGAAGAGAAAACAACAUGUGAUUCUGUGAGUAGCGGCGAGCGAAAACGGAAGAGCCCAAACCAGCGUGCGUGCAUGCUGGGGUUCGGACCGCGGAAUUGAUUCAACGAGUUUAGCAGAACGGUUUUGGGAAAGCCGGCCAGAGAGGGUGAAAGCCCCGUAAGCGAAAGACGAGUUGACAUGGCGGGAUCCAGAGUACCACGAGACACGUGGAACCUUGUGGGAAGAUGCGGGGACCACCCCGUAAGGCUAAAUACUACUUAGUGACCGAUAGCGCAUAGUACUGUGAAGGAAAGGUGAAAAGGACCCCGGGAGGGGAGUGAAAAAGAACCUGAAACCAUAUGUUUACAAGCUGUGGAAGAGCUUUAUAUGCUCAACCGCGUACUUUUUGUAGAACGGUCCGGCGAGUUACGCUGGCUGGCGAGGUUAAGGACUGAAGGUCCGGAGCCGAAGGGAAACCAAGUCUGAAUAGGGCGCAUAGUCAGUCGGAGUAGACCCGAAACCGGGUGAUCUAUCCAUGUCCAGGUUGAAGUUGCCGUAAAAGGCAAUGGAGGACCGAACCCACAUCCGUUGAAAAGGGUGGGGAUGAGGUGUGGAUAGGGGAGAAAUUCCAAUCGAACCCGGAGAUAGCUGGUUCUCCUCGAAAUAGCUUUAGGGCUAGCCUCAUACGAGUCUUGCGGAGGUAGAGCACUGAAUUCCUAAGGGGGCGUCAAAGCUUACUAAGGGAUAUCAAACUCCGAAUGCCGUGUAGAUGAUGUAUGGGAGUCAGACGAUCCGAGAUAAGUUGGGUGGUCAAAAGGGAAAGAGCCCAGACCAACAGCUAAGGCCCCAAAAUGUGUGUUAAGUGGAAAAGGAUGUGGGAUUUCGAAGACAACUAGGAUGUUGGCUCAGAAGCAGCCAUUCAUUCAAAGAGUGCGUAAUAGCUCACUAGUCGAGAGGUCCUGCGCCGAAAAUGUCCGGGGCUAAAACACACUGCCGAAGCUUUGGAAUUGAAUUAAUUCAAUUGGUAGAGGAGCAUUCUUAAAGGGACGAAGCAGUACCGUAAGGAGCUGUGGACUUUUAAGAAGAGAGAAUGCCGGAAUGAGUAGCGAGAGGAAGGUGGGAAUCCUUCCGGCCGAAUAUCUAAGGUUUCCAGAGUAAAGCUGAUCUGCUCUGGGUAAGUCGGGGCCUAAGGCGAGGUCGAAAGACGUAGUCGAUGGAUAACAGGUUGAAAUUCCUGUACUAUCCUGUAACAGAACUGUGGGGACACAGGCAGAGAGCGUGAGCCGGGAAUGGAAAGACCGGUACAAGCGAGGUAGGAGUCUGGUUGGCAAAUCCGCCAGGCAAUCCGAAGACGUGAUGUGGACUGAAAAUAAGUAGGGAAGCACGUG
RNAcentral lists this ribosomal RNA (1583 nucleotides) under Ruminococcus sp. AM33-14. RNAcentral describes it as "bacterial LSU rRNA". It matches the Rfam family "Bacterial large subunit ribosomal RNA", at positions 1 to 1596 of the family's 2925-position model. Lineage: Bacteria; Bacillati; Bacillota; Clostridia; Eubacteriales; Oscillospiraceae. The record is from RNAcentral.